CGGCGGCCGAGCUCGGGUGCAUCCUCGGGCCCGCCGCCGCCGCCGCUGCCGCCGGAGCGCGCGGCCAUGGAGCUAGAGGUGCCGGACGAGGCAGAGAGCGCCGAAGCAGGGGCCGUGACAGCGGAGGCGGCCUGGUCUGCGGAGAGUGGGGCGGCGGCAGACCUGGCAGCAGCAGCCUGUUAUCUGCUCUGGUGAUUUCCACCUAUCUGAUGGGAAGGAAACCUAUCUGUGUGGCGUUUAGAAUCCAGUUACGUUUAGUCUUCUUACUCCACGGGCCUGCCCAAAAACCGCCUGUCUCCUGCCUUGCUGCGGCUGCUGGGGCCCUUGCAAUUUGUGGGUGCGUGGUAUGGCUUGGGGACCCUGGGUACUAGGCGACAGGGCUGGUGACCUGCCUGGGCU
Molecule: long non-coding RNA, 399 nt
Filed under: Rattus norvegicus (Norway rat)
Lineage: Eukaryota; Metazoa; Chordata; Mammalia; Rodentia; Muridae
Description: long non-coding RNA NONRATT026444
Source: RNAcentral